RNAcentral lists this ribosomal RNA (253 nucleotides) under uncultured bacterium. RNAcentral's name for it is "partial 16S ribosomal RNA". It matches the Rfam family "Bacterial small subunit ribosomal RNA", at positions 524 to 776 of the family's 1533-position model. The record is from RNAcentral.
UACAGAGGUCCCAAGCGUUGUUCGGAUUCACUGGGCGUAAAGGGUGCGUAGGCGGUCGGGUAAGUCUGAUGUGAAAUCUCACAGCUUAACUGUGAAACUGCAUUGGAUACUAUCCGGCUCGAGGAAUGGAGGGGAGACUGGAAUACUUGGUGUAUCAGUGAAAUGCGUAGAUAUCAAGUGGAACACCAGUGGCGAAGGCGAGUCUCUGGACAUUUCCUGACGCUGAGGCACGAAAGCCAGGGGAGCAAACGGG